GCGGGGGCCGGCGCGCUUGCGCAGUCCUGUGUGUGCCUCCGGGACUCGCUCAGGCGUCUGUCCUGGCUGUUCAGUGGCGUGAGGGCAGUCCUUGAUGGUGCCCUUUGUCGACCCCGCUAUGCGGGGCAGGGAAGGUCUGGACCGCGAAGAGCCAAGUUCGAGCUCCGAUAACUCUCCGUGCCCCAAGAGAAUGAUGAUGGUGAGGGGAAAGGGAGAAUGCUGAAACUCUGGGGCAAAGAAGGCAGGCCUGUCGUGGAGCUCGUGCUCGAGUUCAUAGGGCCUUACUUUUGCAAUUAUGCAGCCUCACAACUGCCCGGCAUCCGGCCCCUCCUUCCUAGCGGACUGCUGCAGCCGUAGAUACCUUUUGCCUCAAACUGCAAGUGUCUCCUCCCCGGGCUUCCCUCGCCCAUCAGUGUUGCGGACCUGAUCAGUUGCUGUCCGAGAUCCCGCUUCCUUCACACGGAGUCGCCCCUCCUCUCCCACCUGUCACAGCCACUUGGGUUUCAGUUCAGCCUUGCGGACGACUUGUUCUGCCUGGUAUGCCCUUCCUCUCAAAUGCCAUGGAGCCUCACCCUCAAACCCUGAGACAUUUAUUACAAAACCAUUAGUCAUGGAGCAAGAACAUGGUUUCAUGGUGUAAGGCUGCCUGAGUUUCCCAGGUAUCAAUGGCUCAGGUAGAUGAAGGAACAGUCGACAAAGUCACAAGAGAGAAGAACAGACUUAUCCUUAUGUAGGAAAGAUAACCGUGUCCCAAGUGUGCAAAAGGGGAAGAACUGAAGAAUUUCUGGUUUUAAAGAGCAAAGCAGACCUUUUUGUCUGAGGCCAAGACUCAUCCAAGGGAGCAUGACCUGGUUCAGUGUGGGAUCUUUACUGCUUGGUAACAGAAGACAAAUAAAGCAGAGAAACCUCACAAGCCAAUGCCCAACAAACUUCGACUUUCACAAGCCACAGCCCUAUGUGACAACCAUCAGAGAUUCUUGGACAGAAAGAACAUCAUCCAUCAAGUUAACAAUCCAUCCAUUGAUUUUAACAAGAGAUUUCUAUGAUAUUUAUGGACCUAAACUAUUCUGAAAUCCUCUCUAUUUGUUUUCUAUUAUGCAUAAUAAAUCACUCCAAAACUCAGUGGCUUAAAACAACAAACACUUCUUAUCUCAUAGUUACUAUGGCCAGAGAACUUGAGGAAAUCAUAACUGUAUAGUUUUGGCUCAGGGCUUCUCAUAAGGUUCAGUCAAGCUGUCAGCUGGGACAAUAGUCAUCUGAGAGCUUCAUUGUGGAUUGAGGAUUCACUUUGAAGAUGCAUUCAUAUGACUUUUGGGAGUAGGCCUCAGUUCCUUGCCACAUGGGCCUCUCUGAUUAUUGUUUGAGUGCCACAAUAACGUGGCAUCUGGCUUUGCUGAGAGUAAGUGAUCCAAGAGAAAGGAAGACAGAAGUCACAAUGUUGUUAUGACCCAGACUUUCAAUGUCAUAUUCCAUCAUAUCUGUUAUGUCUUAUUGAUUAUACAGGAUUAUACUAUUCAUUGUGGGAGGAGACCAUACAAGAGCAUGAACCAGGGGAGACAGGGAUUACUCAGGGGUCAUUUUGGAGAUUGGUGAUCACAUUAUGAGAUAUAGAUAUCAAACUAGUGUUUAGAAAGGAUAGAAACAACAUUUUUAGGAAAUAAAAGAACUUAGGAUUUUAUCCCUGUUUCCAUUUUUUCUCUCUUACAUAAUGACGUUUCCUAUUUAAAUCAGCAUUUUGACUUUUCCUUAAUUCCUACCUUUUCUAGAUUUAAGUUUAAGCUCUUGAAAGUUAUGAAAACUGGUGAAAUUUAGAGGUUUGUCCACUCUUACUGUAUAUAAAUAUUGAGGCCUUAAUAGCCACUCUGGCAUGAAUAUCUCAAUAUAUAUAUAACUUGAUAAGUGUAUGUGUGUCUCAUUUGAAGUAAAACUGUCUCCUAUCACUACAAUAAUUACCUUCAUUUUAUAUGUAGCUUUUCCUAAAGACAAAAGUUAUUUCUUUUGUCAAAACUUUAACUGUUUCAAUGCGAUUGAGGCUGCACUUAACAUGAUGAUAGUUUUCUUUUUUUUGAUUGUCAUCUUCUAAUCUGAAGUUAUCCUGUAUUCAAUGAAAUUAAUGCCUUUAAUGUUUUCCAUUCAUACUAGAACCAUAGUAGAAAGUGCUUUUUUAAUAUUUUUAAGGGAAUUAUCUAUGAAAACCUGCCUAUAAUUGGCUAAAUGGAGACAUUAAAGAAUAAAAUACCUCAUUCCUUUCCAAAGGGUUGCUUCCAUGAGGUGAUAGAAGCUUUGGAAAGUGGAUGCAAUUUUAUGAAAUUGGUGGCUUAUGACGCAUUAAAAUCUAGAAGUCUGCAUUUCAUUUCAAUUGAGGUAUUAGAAGUAAUGGUCUUUACUUAUAACUGCAUUAUUUUAAUACAACCUCAGGGAUAAUUAUUUUAAAAUCAACAUCAUCCUAUGUUUAAAUGAAAAUUACAAAAUCUUGAUUUAGAACUUUAGAACUUAAAAGUAUGUGUAAGGUUGGAGGCACUGGAGGGAGGGGUGAACACGUUGGACACUGAUGAUGUGCCAAAGUCCCCGGCUGUUGCCCCCUCCCAACCUGAAAAAUGUGCCUUAGGCUAGCCAAUCCUUGCGCUGCUGUAAAUCUAAGCCCUGCCUCCCCCUAGCUUCUUUAAAAACUCCCUGCCUGUCUGGUCGCGCAUGACUUCUCCAGCCAAUAUUUACAGACUGGUGAACCUCACCCAGGAUUGCGCUCAAAU
Manis javanica (Malayan pangolin) is the source of this 2750-nucleotide long non-coding RNA. RefSeq lists it as uncharacterized. NCBI's taxonomy places the organism in Eukaryota, Metazoa, Chordata, Mammalia, Pholidota, Manidae. The record is from RefSeq and is a predicted model, not a curated record.